UCAAGAAACUUCCACAAUGGGCGAAAGCCUGAUGGAGCGACGUCGCGUGAUGGACGAAGUGCUUCGGCACGUAAACAUCUUUUAUGUGGGAUGAAAUUAUUGACAGUACCACAUGAAUAAGGGGCUCCUAACUCUGUGCCAGCAGGAGCGGUAAUACAGAGGCCCCAAGCGUUAUCCGGAAUCACUGGGCGUAAAGGGUGUCGAGGCGGUUGUAUUAGUCGUUCGUAAAAUCUACGAGCUUAACUUGUAGGCGGCGAACGAAACGGUACGACUUGAGGUUUGGAGAGGUGCGUGGAACUCACGGUGUAGGGGUGAAAUCCGUUGAUAUCGUGGGGAACACCAAAGGCGAAGGCAGCGCACUGGCCAAAAUCUGACGCUCACACACGAAAGCUAGGGUAGCGAGGAGGAUUAGAUACCCCAGUAGUCCCUGAGCGGGCUGGCAAGGCGCAU
RNAcentral lists this ribosomal RNA (450 nucleotides) under uncultured bacterium. RNAcentral describes it as "bacterial SSU rRNA". It matches the Rfam family "Bacterial small subunit ribosomal RNA", at positions 355 to 825 of the family's 1533-position model. The record is from RNAcentral.